CCAUCCCCUCAAGCUUCCGCUUGGCUGGUUGGGCCGGCGUCCACCCGUGGCUCCCGCCGUGGGGGGACGGGCCCGAAAGGCAGUGGCGGCUCCUGGGGACUUGGGUCCCUUGGGCGGUGAUGCAUGGGUCUCUUCAUCCACCGUCCCGGCCGGCCACGCCCCGGGAGCCUGUCGAGUGAUCGGUCUUCCCCUUUA
RNAcentral lists this unclassified non-coding RNA (195 nucleotides) under uncultured Elaphomycetaceae. RNAcentral's name for it is "sequence contains ITS2". Lineage: Eukaryota; Fungi; Ascomycota; Eurotiomycetes; Eurotiales; Elaphomycetaceae. The record is from RNAcentral.